RNAcentral lists this long non-coding RNA (28360 nucleotides) under Hordeum vulgare. Its description in RNAcentral is "long non-coding RNA (HVUL_LNC013252)". The record is from RNAcentral. Lineage: Eukaryota; Viridiplantae; Streptophyta; Magnoliopsida; Poales; Poaceae.
UCGACGGAUUUAUUGGCCGGAGAUGGUCUGGAUGAUGGUGUUGUGCCAUGGGUCGGCCAGGUGCUGCUGCAGGUUCUCGAACGGCCCCUUCCCGGUCACGUUGUGCUGCACCAGGAACCCCAGGAACGCCAGCAUGGCCAGUCUCCCUGAACGAAUGAACGCGCGCGCGAAUACAGAUUAACGAGAGCCGUCGGAUUAGAAACCCGAGGGUUCAGAUGAGACUGAAGAGAGGAUGGACGUACCGUUGGCGAGCUCCUUCUCCUUGUUCUCGAGGGUGGGGGCGAAGUUGAGGGGGUUGAAGACGCUGCCGGGGUAGCCGCACUCGUGGGGCGGGAGGCUGUAGCUCUUGAAGAUGGGGUCCUGGUUGACGGAGCCCGGGUUCUUGAUGUCCUGCCACCGCCGGAUCUCGACGUAGUGGAAGAGGAUGAACUCGAUGACGAAGAGCGUGGAGGAGGAGGCGAAGUAGGUCUCCUUGCCGGCGUCGUACCACUCGGGCGCGUUCAGCAGCCCCGCCUUGGUCAGCACCUCCGGGAUCAGCAUCCCCGCCACCCCCAGCAUCGCCCACCGCCCGUUCACCAGCUCCGCCUGCACGAACCACCGCAGGUCCUCCGGGUCCUCCGCCAGCGCCAGCGGGUCAAAACCAUUGUCACCCGCCAGACUGCACACGUAUCGUCCGUCAGUACGGUCGUAAACAUAUGUAACAGCUGCGUGCAUGGGCACGACGGAAGUGGUGUGGCGUGUCGUGUGGUCUGCUCACCUGCCGUCGAGGUAGGCAGGGGACUGGAGGCCGGGGAGCCAGGACCCCUUGGCCUGGACGGCGACGUCGCGGCGGGUGGACUUGGCGAGCCCGACGCGGCCGGAGUCGCCCAGGAACCGGGGGCUCGACGCUGACGCCGCCGGCCGGAGAGCGGCCACGGGAGCGCGGGCACUGACCGACGACAUCUUCUGCUACUCCUGACUAGAGAGCGCGUACGGCAGGAGAGUGAGAGUGCGCGCGUGUGUGUGUGGUGGUUCUGCCUCUCCGCACCUGCGCUUGGCCCUUUGUAUUGGGCUGCGCUUCGGUGAUUUGUGGGUGUGGUGAGCUGGGCCCCGGAGGUCGAGAUGGACGGCGUGUGUUGGCGCCACCGCGUCGUCCGACGGCUGCGAUGCGUUUGCGCCUGGAGACUGGAUAGAUGGACCAGUGGGAGACCGGGAGGCGUAUGUGCGUUAUCUGGAUGAUGGAUAAUGCGGAAUCAAAAGGGGGAUCGCUAUUGGUCGGGGAAACGCACGUUCGGUUUACCUGGCUGCCACGUCGAUCGGACGAUCCGUCAUGAUGUACAGCUGUACAUGGUGCCAUGGCGGGUUGGUCUGUUUGCUUCAACUUUCGAGCUCUUCCACGGGAAACCGGCUUUCGCCCUAGAAAUGGCACGGAUGGUCGAACGGAUACAAGGUGAUGGAAAGAACCCCAUAGAAGGCGGUCGCGGCGAGCCGUCACGAUCCCGUAAUCGAACAAGAAAAUAAGAGUCGCCACACCUAACAUGAGGCGACCUAGACUAUUGAAUCGGAACUCAACCGUGCCGCCUAGGAAAAUCAUAGACCAUUAUGCAUAAAACACAUCAAGUUAUCGCCGGAGAAAGUAAGUGUCGAUCCAAUCCGUGGAGUUCCAAUCCUGCGAGCAGAUAGCGAGGACCAAUGACAUUGACUACGAGGACACGUGUAAAUGAUAGGGGAUCAACGGAUCCACUCCACGACGAAGCCGAAGGCACCGAUGUGCUGUAACUGGAUGAUAUUUGUGUUCCCCGACAAUGCCCCGAGGAGGGUAAUGAUGUAGAGCGUUGAUACGUCUCCAACGUAUUUAUGGUGUUUUUAUUGUGUCAUGCUAUUAUAUUAUCAAUUUCGGAUGCUUUAUAUGCUAUUUUAUAUCAUUUUUAAGAACUAACCUAUUAACCGAGUGUCCAGUGUCAGUUCCUAUUUUUUGCGUGUUUUGACUUCUCAGAAAAUCAAUAACAAACGAAGUUCAAACAUGAUGAAACUUUAUGAUGAUUCUUUCUGGACCAAAAAGGGACCCCUAGAAGGUUCGGGAGGAGGCCAGAAGACGUAGGGAGAGCCACAAGCUCACAGGGUGCGCCCCCCCCCCCCCGGGGGNNNNNNNNNNNNNNNNNNNNNNNNNNNNNNNNNNNNNNNNNNNNNNNNNNNNNNNNNNNNNNNNNNNNNNNNNNNNNNNNNNNNNNNNNNNNNNNNNNNNGACGUCUAACUUGUUUUUGCAGGGUAUGAUUGUGAUGUGAUAUGGCCAAUGAUGUGAUGUGAUAUAUUGGAUGUAUGAGAUGAUCAUGUUGUAAUAGAAAUAUCGACUUGCACGUCGAUGGUACGGCAACCGGCAGGAGCCAUAGGGUUGUCUUUAUACUAACGUUUGUGCUUGCAGAUGCGUUUACUAUUUUGCUAGGAUGUAGCUUUAGUAGUAAUAGCAUAAGUAGCACGACAACCCCGAUGUCAACAUGUUGAUGGAUGAUCAUGGUGUGGCGCCGGUGACAAGAAGAUCGUGCCGGUGCUUUGGUGAUGGAGAUCAAGNNNNNNNNNNCUUGCAGAUGCGUUUACUAUAUUGCUAGGACGUAGCUUUAGUAGUAAUAGCAUGCGUAGCACGACAACCCCGAUGGCGACACGUUGAUGGAGAUCAUGAUGAUGGAGAUCAUGGUGUGACGCCGGUGACAAGAAGAUCGUGCCGGUGCUUUGGUGAUGGAGAUCAAGAAGCACGUGAUGAUGGCCAUAUCAUGUCACUUAUGAAUUGCAUGUGAUGUUAAUCCUUUUUGCACCUUAUCUUUCUUAGAACGACGGUAGCAUUAUGAGGUGAUCUCUCACUAAAAUUUCAAGACGAAAUUGUGUUCUCCCCGACUGUGCACCGUUGCGACAGUUCUUCGUUUCGAGACACCAGGUGAUGAUCGGGUGUGAUAGACUCAACGUUCACAUACAACGGGUGCAANNNNNNNNNNUGAAAUUGUGUUCUCCCCGACUGUGCACCGUUGCUACAGUUCGUCAUUUCGAGACACCACGUGAUGAUCGGUGUGAUAGACUCAACGUUCACAUACGACGGGUGCAAAACAGUUGCGCACGCGGAACACUCGGGUUAAGCUUGACGAGCCUAGCAUGUGCAGACAUGGCCUCGGAACACAUGAGACCGAAAGGUCGAUCAUGAAUCAUAUAGAUGAUGUGAUUAGCAUAGGGAUGCUUACCACUGAAACUAUACUCAACUCACGUGAUGAUCGGACUUGAGAUAGUGUAGGUGGAUCAUGAACCACUCAAAUGACUAGAGAGAUGUAAUUUUUGAGUGGGAGUUUAGCAGAUAAUUUGAUUAAGUUGAACUCUAAUUAUCUUCAACAUAGUCUAAGUCCACUUUGAAUAUAUUUGUGUUGUAGAUCAUGGCUGACGCAAGUGUCAUCCUGAAUUUUAAUACGUUCCUAGAGAAAGCUAAGUUGAAAGAUGAUGGAAGCAACUUUGUAGACUGGGCUCGUAAUCUUAAGCUAAUCUUACAAGCUGGGAAGAAGGAUUAUGUCCUUGAUGCUGCGCUAGGAGAUGAACCACCCGCUACGGCUGAUCAGGAUGUUAAGAACGCUUGGUUAGCGCGUAAGGAGGACUACUCAAUAGUUCAAUGUGCAGUCUUGUAUGGCUUAGAACCGGGACUUCAACGUCGCUUUGAGCGUCAUGGAGCAUUUGAGAUGUUCCAGGUGUUGAAGUUUAUCUUUCAGAAGAACGCCUGGAUCGAGAGGUAUGAGACCUCCGAUAAAUUCUAUGCUUGCAAGAUGGAGGAAAACUCGUCUGUCAGUGAACAUGUGCUCAAAAUGUCUGGGUACUCAAACCGUCUAGCUGAGCAGGGGAUUGAACUCCCGCAAGAGGCUAUCACUGACAGAAUCCUUCAAUCACUGCCACCAAGCUACAAAGGCUUUGUGUUGAACUACAACAUGCAAGGGAUGAACAAGUCACCCGGCGAGUUGUUUGCGAUGUUGAAAGUCGCAGAGUCUGAACUCCGUAAAGAGCAUCAAGUGUUGAUGGUGAAUAAGACCACUAGUUUCAAGAGAAACGGCAAAGGCAAGAAGGGUAAUUCAAAGAAGAGACUUGCCGGUAAACGAGAUUGAAAUAGGUAUGCGGAUACUGACGAUCGAAUCUCGGGCAAGUAACAUACCGAAGGACAAAGGGAAUGACAUACGGGAUUAUANNNNNNNNNNNNNNNNNNNNNNNNNNNNNNNNNNNNNNNNNNNNNNNNNNNNNNNNNNNNNNNNNNNNNNNNNNNNNNNNNNNNNNNNNNNNNNNNNNNNUGUGUGUGUGUGUGUGUGCACACUUGUGAUAGUGCAAGUGAUGUGUGUAUGUGUUUAUGUGGCUUAGUUGAAAAGUGGCUCAUGUGAUCUUGCUAGUGUGUUUGGGUGUGUAGUACUUGCAAAGUAUGUGCAUUGUGGAAUAGGUGAGAUGUGUGUGUUGAGGUGAUGUGUGUGUAAGUAGUGCACACAUAUGUGGUACCUAGCAGGAGUGUAUGUAUGUGUGGAUCCAUGUUUACUUGCAUAGCAGUUGUUCCUUCAUGUUGUGCUUGAGAUUAAGUGCUUGUGAUGAGGGUAUUGUGAUGAUAUGUGUGUGGUGAUAACAGCCCCAUUUUCAACACUUGUGCACCUCCUCAUGUUCAUAUGAGAGAGGACAUGAUGUGUGUGUGUGUGAGGGUGAUCUAGUGAAAGUUGUGCUAGUGGUGUUGANNNNNNNNNNGCAACACUUGUGCACCUCCUCAUGUUGAUAUGAGAGAGGGCAUGAUGUGUGUGUGUGAGGGUGAUCUAGUGAAAGUUGUGCUAGUGGUGUUGAUAUGCAUAACACAUACAUGGGGUUCAAACCCCCAUGUCACUUUUUCAUUGUGCACAUGAGCUCAACCUUUGUAGUUGUUGACUUAGUAGGAACUACAUGAAAUGAUGCCCAUUCCCUAGGCAUGAUUUGGAGUAGUUUCCUCUCCCUUAUUUUGUGGUCACUUGUUCCAAGUAAGUGCCCACAUAUUAUAUAUGAUUUUGGGGUAGAAUCUCCCAAGGAAUCCAGUGGUGAAGUUAGUUUUUCCAUUACGAUACUUUAUGGAGUUGACAUAUUCAGAUUUGUUGCAAGUUUGAUCUUUGAUUCCAUGGAAUAGGUGGAGCCCAAGGGCANNNNNNNNNNGCCAUUAGGAUAAUUUCUGGAGUUGACAUAUUCAGAUUUAUUGCAAGUUUGAUCUUUGAUUCCAUGGAAUAGGUGGAGCCCAAGGGCAUGAGUUUUUGUGUGAUAGUAGUAGGGUUUUGCUCUACACCAUAGUGGUGUCAUAUAUCACUUGGUGUUACUUGUGUGCAAACUAUGCCUAGACAAAGUGGGCAUGUGGUUGAAAAUUCCAGUUUAGUGAAAUCUGGAAUUUCACUAAGUCUGGGAUUCUGGAAACAUUUUCUUCUCUUAUAGAUGAGGAUGUGCUGGUCAUUGUGUUGAGAUCUAGCCUUAGUUCAGUGCUAGGAUUUUGGACCUGAUAUGUUUUUUAAGUUCCCUGUCAAAUUUCAAAUCAUUUGGAGUCUAGUAGGUUGUGUUUUGAUUGCUGUCAAAAAGCUUCAGAACAAAGACAGNNNNNNNNNNAUAGCCUUAGUUCAGUGCUAGGAUUUUGGACCUGAUAUGUUUGUGAUGCUUCCUGUCAAAUUUCAAAUCAUUUCGAGUCCAGUAGGUUGUGUUUUGAUUGCUGUCAAAAAGCUUCAGAACAAAGACAGAAAUUCAGGUGCAGGAAUUUUCACCAAGUCCCUGAGAUCUGAUGGUUUUGGGGAAGUUUGUGGCCUUGUAUAUUAAUUCCUUUUGCUGUGAUUCUUGCUGGUGCUUGUAGGGUUCUUAGUGGGCUACAGCCACAUAUAUUAUUUGACAUAUUUGGUGGCCUGUAGCUAUGUUGCAUGUAGCUCACAAAGUGCUAAGAUGCAGUUUAUGGCAGAUUAUGUAGUUUUGUCAUUUCUAUGAUUGUGUGUGCUUAGUGGAUGUGGUGGUGCUCUUACUUGCUCCAAUCCAUUCAUGUGGGAGUGGUACAUGUCUUGGCAACCUGNNNNNNNNNNUAUGCAGUUUAUGGCAGAUUAUGUAGUUUUGUCAUUUUGAUGAUUGUGUGUGCUUAGUGGAUGUGGUGGUGCUCUUCCUUGCUCCAAUCCAUUCAUGUGGGAGUGGUACAUGUCUUGGCAACCUGGGAAUACCAGAUUUGUGCCAAUUGUGAGUGUGGUGUUGAUUCUUACACGUAGAGCUUCAUAUCUUGUUUCGUUGAUUCCCGUUGAACCGUAGCUCCGUUCGCAAUGUUCUUUAUAUGUUUUUGCAUAGUUUUCACGAGACGCAUCUCUUCAUGCCAUUCUCAUGCAUGUAAAAAUAUCCUAGUUUACAGUUCUGUCCAGAAACUUAUAGUAGUUCUUUUGCUUGUGCUAGUGAUAGAAAUAGUGAUGCAUGCUCAUUUUUCANNNNNNNNNNACAAUGUUCUUUAUAUGUUUUUGCAUCGUUUUCACGAGACGCAUCUCUUCAUGCCAUUCUCAUGCAUGUCGAAAUAGCCUAGUGUAAAGUUCUGUCCAGAAACUUAUAGUAGUUCCUUUUGCUUGUGCUAGUGAUAGAAAUAGUGAUGCAUGCUCAUUUUUCAUCUCAUGCAUCAUGUGAUUGUUGCAUCUUGUNNNNNNNNNNNNNNNNNNNNNNNNNNNNNNNNNNNNNNNNNNNNNNNNNNNNNNNNNNNNNNNNNNNNNNNNNNNNNNNNNNNNNNNNNNNNNNNNNNNNGAACAACAUUCGGUAACCAACCAUAUAACUCAAAUACGCAUAAAACAAUGUCGAACCUUAAGUGUGCAGACCCUACGGGUUCAGGAACUAUGUAGACAUCACCCGAGAGACUCCUCGGUCAAUAUCCAAUAGCGGGACCUGGAUGCCCAUAUUGGAUCCUACAUAUUCUACGAAGAUUUUAUCGUUUGAACAUCAGUGCCAAGGAUUCAUAUAAUCCCGUAUGUCAUUCCCUUUGUCCUUCGGUAUGUUACUUGCCCGAGAUUCGAUCAUCAGUAUCCGCAUACCUAUUUCAAUCUCAUUUGCCGGCAAGUCUCUUUACUCGUUCCGUAAUACAAGAUCCGCAACUUACACUAAGUCACAUUACUUGCAAGGCUUGUGUAUGAUGUUGUAUUACCGAGUGGGCCCCGAGAUACCUCUCCGUCACACGGAGUGACAAAUCCCAGUCUCGAUCCAUACUAACUCAACUAACACCUUCGGAGAUACCUGUAGAGCAUCUUUAUAGUCACCCAGUUACNNNNNNNNNNNNNNNNNNNNNNNNNNNNNNNNNNNNNNNNNNNNNNNNNNNNNNNNNNNNNNNNNNNNNNNNNNNNNNNNNNNNNNNNNNNNNNNNNNNNGUAGACCGAUAAUUUCUGCAUCUACUACUAUUACUCCACACGUCGACCGCUAUCCAGCAUGCAUCUAGUGUUUUGAGUUCAUGACGAACAGAGUAACGCCUUAAGAAAGAUGACAUGAUGUAGAGGGAUAAUCUCAAACCAAUGAUGAAAACCCCAUCUUUUUACCCUUGAUGGCAACAACACGAUACGUGCCUCGCUACCCCUUCUAUCACUUGGUGAGGUCACCGCACGGUAUGAACCCAAAACCAAGCAAUUCUCCCAUUGCAAGAAUCAUAGAUCUAGUUGGCCAAACAAAACCCACAACUCGAAGUGAAUUACAAGGAUAUGCAAUCAUGCAUAAGAGAGAUCAGAAGAAACUCAAAUAAGAUUCAUAGAUAAUCUGAUCAUAAAUCCACAAUUCAUCGGAUCUCGACAAACACACCGCAAAAGAAGAUUACAUCGGAUAGAUCUCCAUGAAGAUCAUGGAGAACUUUGUAUUGAAGAUCCAAGAGAGAGAAGAAGCCAUCUAGCUACUAGCUAUGGACCCGUAGGUCUGUGGUGAACUACUCACGCAUCAUCGGAGAGGUCAUGGUGUUGAUGAAGAAGCCCUCCGUAUCCGAAUCCCCCCUCGGUAGGGCACCAGAAUGUGCCCCAGAUGGGAUCUUGCGGAGACAGAAGCUUGCGGCGGCGGAAAAGUACUUUUGAUGAUCUCCUGAUUUUUUCUGGGAUUUUAGGUAAUUUAUAGGCGAAAGACCUAGGGAAGAGGUGGCCCAGGGAGCCCACAAGCCUGGGAGGCGCGGGCCCCCCUGGCCGCGGCUAGGGGGCUUGUGGGGUCCCUGCUGCCCCCCUGCCCAGAUUCUCAGGCUUCUUGAUCUUCUUAUAUUUCGGAAAAAAUCUUUUUGGCAGUUUCGUUCCGUUUGGACUCCGUUUAAAAUCCUCCUCUGAAAAGGGUCAAAAACAUGGAAAAAACAGGAACUGGCACUUGUCACUGAGUUAAUAAGUUAGUCCCAAAAAAUAUAUAAAAGGCAUACAAAACAUCCAAAGUUUGACAAGAUAAUAGCAUGAAACCAUCAAAAAUUAUAGAUACGUUGGAGAUGUAUUAACCUACGAGGUUUGUAGUAACUUGAUCCGAAGCUCUAAUGAUCACUAUCAUCAGCUUCCACUUCAAUUGGUGUAGGCGUCACAGGAACAACUUCCUGCGCCCUGCUACACACUGGUUGAAGUGACGGUUCAAUAACCUCAUCAAGUUCCACCAGUCUCCCACCCAAUUCUUUGGAGAGAAACCUUUCCUCGAGAAAGGAUCCGUUUCUAGAAACAAACACUUUGCUUCCGGAUCUGAGAUAGGAGAUGUAUCCAACUGUUUUGGAUAUCCUAUGAAGAUGCAUUUAUCCGCUUUGGGAUCGAGCUUAUUAGACUGAAACCUUUUCACAUAAGCAUCGCAACCCCAAACUUUCAAGAAACGACAGCUUAGGUUUCUCUAAACCAUAGUCUAUGGCGUGUCAUCUCAACGGAAGUAUGCGGUGCCCUAUUUAAAGUGAAUGUGGUUGUCUCUAAUGCAUAACCCAUAAACGAUAGUGGUAAUUCGAUAAGAGACAUCAUAGUAUGCACCAUAUCAUAAUAGGGUGUGGCUAUGACGUUCACACACAUCAUCACACUAUGGUGUUCCAGGUGGCAUGAACUGCGAAACAAUUUUCACAUUGUCUUAACUGCGUACCAAAAACUCGCAACUCAGAUAUUCAUCUCUAUGAUCAUAUCGUAGACAGUUUAUCCACUUGUCACAACGAUCUUCACUCUGAAAUAGCUUUGAACUUUUCAAUAUUUCAGACUUGUGAUUCAUCAAGUAAAUACUCGUGUAUCUACUCAAAUCGUCAGUGAAGUAAGAACAUAACGAUAUCCACUGCGUGCCUCAGCACUCAUUGGACUGCACACAUCAAAAAUGUAUUACUCCCAACAAGUUACUCUCUUGUUUCAUGUAGCAUGAUCUGCAUGUCUCAAGUGAUUCAAAAUCAAGUGAGCCCAAACGGUCCAUCCGCAUGGAGUUUCUUCAUGCGUUUAUACCAACAAGUAUGGUUUGCAUGUUUCAAUCGUUUCAAAAAAUGAGUGAGUACAAAGAUCCAUCAGCAUGGAGCUUCUUCAUGCAUUUUAUACCAACAUGACUCAAGUGGCAGUGCUACAACUAAGUGGUACUAUCAUUAUAACUUUGUAUCUUUUGGCACCAAUAUUAUGAACAUGUGUAACACUAUGAUCGAGAUUCAAUAAACCAUUGAGGGUAAUUAUUCAAGCAAAUAGAAUAACUAUUAUUCUCUUUAAUUGAAUAAUUGUAUUGCAAUGAACACGAUCCAAUCAUGUUCAUGAUUAACGCAAUCACCAAAUAACAAUUAUUUAAGUUUUACCACCAAUCUGGAUGAUAGAGGGAGCGUGCGAUGUUUGAUCACAUCAACCUUGGAAACACUUCCAACACGUAUUGUCACCUCGCCUUUAGCUAGUCUCCGUUUAUACCGUAGCUUUCAUUUCGAGUUACUAAUCACUUAGCAACCGAACCGGUAUCGAAUACCCUCGUGCUACUAGGAGUAAAGUACACAUCAAUAUCAUGCAUAUCAAAUAUACUUCUGUCGACUUUGCCAGCCUUCUUAUCUACCAAGUAUCUAGGGUAGCUCCGCCUCACUGACCGUUCCCCUCAUAACAGAAGCACUCAGUCUCGGGUUUGGGUUCAAUUUUGGGUUUCUUCAUUAGAGCAGCAACUUGUUUGCCGUUUCAUGAAGUAUCCCUUCAAGCCCUUACCCUUCUUGAAACUAGUGGUUUUACUAAGCAUCAACAAUUGAUGCUCCUUCUUGAUUUCUACUUUCACAGUGUCAAACAUUGCAAAUCACUCAAGGAUCAUCAUAUCUAUCCUUGAUUUGUUUAUAGUUCAUCACGAAGCUCUAGCAGCUUAGUCGCAGUGACUUUGGAGAACCAUCACUAUCUCAUCUGGAAGAUUAACUCCCACUUGAUUCAAGCGAUUGUUGUACUGAGACAAUCUGAGAACAUGCUCAACGAUUUGAGCUUUUCUCCUUUACUUUGUAGGCAAAGAAUCUUGUCGGAGGUCUUAUAUCUCUCAACAAGGGCACGAGCAUGAAAUCUCAAUUUCAUCUCUUUGAACAUCUCUUAUGUUCUGCGAUGUUUUCAAAACGUCUUCAGUGCCUUGCUUCUAAGCCAUUAAGUAUUGCGCACUGAACUAUUAUGUAGUCAUCAAAGACGUGUAUGUCAGAUGUUUGCAGCAUCCACAAACAACACCUGAGGUGCAGCACACCAAGUGGUGCAUUAAGGACAUAAGACUUCUGCGCAACAAUGAGGACAAUACUCAGUUUUACGGACUGAGUCCGCAAAGUUGCUACUAUCAACUUUGAACUAAAUUUUCUCUAGGAACAUAUAAAAACAGUAGAGCUAUAGCGCAAGCUACAUCGUAAUUUGCAAAUACCAUUGGACUAUGUUCAUGAUAAUUAGUUCAAUUAAUCAUAUUACUUAAGAACUCCCACUCAAAAAGUACAUCUCUCUAGUCAUUUGAGUGGUACAUGAUCCGAAUCCACUAUCUCAAGUCCGAUCAUCACGUGAGUCGAGAAUAGUUUCAGUGGCAAGCAUCUCUAUGCUAAUCAUAUCAACUAUACGAUUCAUGCUCGACCUUUCGGUCUCUUGUGUUCCGGGGCCAUGUCUGCACAUGCUAGGCUCGUCAAGUUUUACCCGAGUGUUCCGCGUGUGCAACUGUUUUGCACCCGUUGUAUGUGAACGUUGAGUCUAUCACACCCGAUCAUCACGUGGUGUCUCGAAUCAACAAACUGUAGCAACGGUGCAGAGUCGGGGAGAACACAAUUUCGUCUUGAAAUUUUAGUGAGAGAUCACCACAUAAUGCUAUCGUCGUUCUAAGCAAAAUAAGGUGCAUAAAAGGAUUAACAUCACAUGCAAUUCAUAAGUGAAUGAUAUGGCCAUCAUCACGUGCUUCUUUAUCUCCAUCACCAAAGCAUCGACAUGAUCUUCUUGUCACCGGUGCCACACCAUGAUCUCCAUCAACGUGUCGCCAUCGGGGUUGUCGUGCUACUUAUGCUAUUACUACUAAAGCUACGUCCUAGCAAUAUACUAAACGCAUCUGCAAACACAAACGUUAGUUUAAAGACAACCCUAUGGCUCCUGCGGGUUGCCGUACCAUCGACGUGCAAGUCGAUAUUAACUAUUACAACAUGAUCAUCUCAUACAUCCAAUAUAUCACAUCACGUCAUUGGCCAUAUCAUAUCACAAGCAUAUCCUUCGAAAACAAGUUAGACGUCCUCUAAUUGUUGUUGAAUGUUUUACGUGGUUUCAAUGGGUAUCUAGUAGAUCGCAUCUUACUUACGCAAAAACCACAACGCAGAUGUGCAAAUUGCUAUUUAUCCUCUCCAGGGACCGCCUCGGUCAAAACCAAUUCAACUAAAGUUGAAGAAACCGACACCCGCCAGUCAUCUUUAUGCAACGAGGUUGCAUGUCAAUCGAUGAAACUAGUCUUUUGUAAGCAUACGAAUAAUGUCGGUCCGGGCCGCUUCAAUCCAAAAAUACCGCCAAAUUGAGAAAAGACUCAGGAGGGCAGCAAAUCGAACAUCACCGUCCAGAAAACCCUUUGUGUUCUACUCGAGAUUACAUCUACGCAUGAACCUAGCUCAUGAUGCCUAUGUUGGGGAACGUCGCAUGGGAAACAAAAAAUUUCCUACGCGCACGAAGACCUACCGUGGUGAUGUCCAUCUACGAGAGGAGAUUUGGAUCUACGUACCCUUAAAGAUCGCACAGCAGGAAGCGUUAAGAAACGCGGUUGAUGUAGUGGAACGUCCUCACGUCCCUCGAUCCGCCCCNNNNNNNNNNUCCGUCCCACGAUCCGCUCCGAUCUAGUGCCGAACGGACGGCACCUCCAUGUUCAGCACACGUACAGCUCGACGAUGAUCUCGGCCUUCUUGAUCCAGAAAGUAAGACGAAGAAGUAGAUGAGUUCUCCGGCAGCGUGAAGGCGCUUCGGUGGUGGUUGCUACGACAACAAAAGUUCUUCCCCGGCAAUGGCGCCAGAAAUCCUUCUUGCUACUUCUCAAACAACAACGCCAAAAUUGACACGUUGACGGAGACUUGCUUGCGUCGGUUUUUGCCUUGAAGAGGAAAGGGUGAUGCAGCACAGGAGCAGUAAGUAUUUCCCUCAGUUUGAGAACCAAGGUAUCAAUCCAGUAGGAGAAUCUCGUCAAGUCCAGAGUACCUCCACAAACAUAAAGAUCUUGCACCCAAUGCUAUAAAGGGGUUGUCAAUCCCUUCAAGAUUGAUUGCAAAGUGAGAUUUGAAGGCGGAAAGUGCAACGAAGUAAAAUUGUAAGGCUAAAAAUAUGGUGUGGAGUAGACCCCGGGGCCAUAGUGUUCACUAGAGGCUUCUCUCAAAAUAGCAAAUAUUACAGUGGGUGAACAAAUUACUGUCGAGAAAUUGAUAGAACCGCGCAAAGUCAUGACGAUAUCUAAGGCAAUGAUCAUACAUAUAGGCAUCACGUCCGAGACAACUAGACCGAUACUUUCUGCAUCUACUACUAUUACUCCACACAUCGACCGCUAUCCAGCAUGCAUCUAGUGUAUUGAGUUCAUGACGAACAGAGUAACGCCUUAAGCAAGAUGACAUGAUGUAGAGGGAUAAUCUCAAACCAAUGAUGAGAACCCCAUCUUUUUACCCUCGAUGGCAACAACACGAUGCGUGCCUCGCUACCCCUUCUGUCACUGGGUGAGGUCACCACACGGUAUGAACCCAAAACCAAGCACUUCUCCCAUUGCAAGAAUCAUCGAUCUAGUUGGCCAAACAAAACCCACAACUCGAAGAGAAUUACAAGGAUAUGAAAUCAUGCAUAAGAGAGAUCGGAAGAAACUCAAAUAAGACUCAUAGAUAAUCUGAUCAUAAAUCCACAAUUGAUCGAAUGUCGACAAACACACCGCAAAAGAAGAUUACAUCGGAUAGAUCUCCAUGANNNNNNNNNNNNNNNNNNNNNNNNNNNNNNNNNNNNNNNNNNNNNNNNNNNNNNNNNNNNNNNNNNNNNNNNNNNNNNNNNNNNNNNNNNNNNNNNNNNNNNNNNNNNNNNNNNNNNNNNNNNNNNNNNNNNNNNNNNNNNNNNNAUACUAGCUAUGGACCCGUAGGUCUAUGGUGAACUACUCACGCAUCAUCGGAGAGGUCAUGGUGUUGCUGAAGAAGCCCUCUGUAUCCGAAUCCCCCCUCCGACAGGGCACCGGAACGUGCCCCAGAUGGGAUCUUGUAGAGACAGAAGCUUGCGGCGGCGGAAAAGUACUUUCGAUGAUCUCCUGAUUUUUUUCUGGGAUUUUAGGGAAUUUAUAGGCGAAAGUCCUAGGGCAGAGCUGGCCCAAGGAGCCCACAAGCCUGGGAGGCGCGGGCCCCCUGGUCGCGGCUAGGGGGCUUGUGGGGUCCCUGCAGCCCCCCUGCCCUGAUUCUCAGGUUUCCCGAUCUUCUUCUGUUUCAGAAAAAAUCUUUUUGACAGUUUCAUUCCGUUUGGACUCCGUUUAAAAUCCUCCUUUGAAAGGGGUCAAAAACAUGGGGAAAUAGGAACUGGCACUGAGUUAAUAAGUUAGUCCCAAAAAGUAUAUAAAAGGCAUGCAAAACAUCCAAAGUUUGACAAGAUAAUAGCAUGAAACCAUAAAAAUUAUAGAUACAUUGGAUACGUAUCAAGCAUCCCCAAGCUUAACUCCUGCUCGUCCUAAAGUAGGGAAGUGAUAAAGAAUUAAAUUUUGAUGUGGAAUGCUACCUAGCAUAGUUGUCCUUUGCAACUUCUUUCAUGUGACAUGAGUGUUCAGAUCCGUGAGAUUGAAAACAAUAGUUUGCUAUUGACAUGAAAACAAUAAUACUUCAAGCAAACUAGCAAGGUAAUCAUGAACUUUAAAAAUAACAAGGCCAAGGAAAGUUAUCCCUACAAAAUUAUAUAGUCUGGCUAUGCUCCAUCAUCCUCACACAACUAAUGUAAAUCAUGCACAACCCCGGUAUUGGCCAAGAAAUAGUUUUCGCACUCUUACUUUCUCAAACUUUUUAUAACUAUCAUGCAAUACAUGAGCGUGAGCCAUGGAUAUAGCACUAUAAUUGGAAUAGAGUGUGGUGGUGGUUGUGAGACAAAAAGGAGAAGAUGGUCACAUUGACUCUGCGUAUCAAAGGGCUAUGGAGAUACCCAUUAAUAGAUAUCAAUGUGAAUGAGUAGGGAUUGCCAUACAAAGGAUGCACUAGAGCUAUAAGUAUGUGAAAGCUCAAAAGGAAAACUAGUGGGUGUGCAUCCAACUUGCUUUCUCACGAAGACCUAGGGCAAUUUUGAGGAAACCCAUCAUUGGAAUAUACAAGCCAAGUUAUAUAGUGAAGAUUCCAACUAGCAUAUGGUGGUGACGAAACGAGAGGCUCUCAAUCAUGAAGAACAUGGUGCUAUUAUGAAGCACAAGUGUGGAAAAAGAUAGUAGCAUUGUCCCUUCUCUCUUUUCUCUCUUCUUCUUUUUUAUUUGGGCUCUUAGGCCUCUUUUUCUCUUUUUUUGGGCUCUUUGGCCUCUUUUUUUAUUUUAUUUCCUCACAUGGGACAAUGCUCUAAUAAUGAUGAUCAUCACACUUUUAUUUACUCACAGCUCAAAGCUUAGAAAUGACUUCUAUAGGAAAUGCCUCCGGCAGUGUACCGGGAUGUGCAACGAUCUAGCUUGGCGUAUGACGUUGAAACAUAUCGCUAGCUAUCUUGCGAUCAUGCAAUGGAAAUAUGAGAGUGACGGCACAAGUCAUGAGACGGAACGGUGGGAGUUGCAUGUCAAUAUAUCUCGGAAUGGCUACGAAAAUGCCAUAGUAGGUAGAUAUGGUGGUUGUUUUGAGGAAGGCAUUUGGUGGGUUUGUGUACCGGCGAGAAUUGCACGGCACUAGAGAGGCUAGCAAUGGUGAAAGGUGGAAGUGCAUCUAUACCAUGGACUCACAUUAGUCAUGAAGAACUCACAUACAUGUUGCGAAAUUUUUUAUUAGUAAUCGAAACAAAGUGCUAAACGCAUACUCCUAGGGGAAGGGUUGGUAGGUGUUAACCAUCGCACGAACCCGACCUCAACACAAAGGAUGACAAUCAAUAGAUCAAUUAUGCUUCGACUUCCUAACAUAGCGGUUCACCAUACGUGCAUGCUACGGGAAUCACUAACUUUAACACAAGUAUUUCUAGAUUCACAAUACCCUACUAACAUAACUCUUAAUAUUACCAAAUCCACGCCUCCAAACUAAUUGAGAGGAAUCAAAACUUCUCUUUCUACUCAAUGCACAUGAAUAUGGAGGUUUUUGUAUCCUCUUUGGGUACCUAUCACCUUUGGGACUACUUUCAUAGCAUAAGCCAACUACCAAAUCACGCACCGCCGUGCUCUAACAGAUCUAAGUGAAGCACAUAUAGCAAAAUUGUCUAGCUGAAAAGAUAUAAGUGAAGCACAAUGAGCAUUCUAGCAAAAUCACGGUGAGUUCAUGUCUAUCUCUAAAGGUGUGCAUCAAGGAUGAUUGUGACACAACAAAAAGAAAAUAAUCCUAAGAUACAAGACACUCCAAGCAAAACACAUAUCAUGUGGUGAAUAAAAAUAUAGCUCCAAGUAAUGUUACCGAUGGAUUGAAGACGAAAGAGGGGAUGCCUUCCCGGGGCAUNNNNNNNNNNNNNNNNNNNNNNNNNNNNNNNNNNNNNNNNNNNNNNNNNNNNNNNNNNNNNNNNNNNNNNNNNNNNNNNNNNNNNNNNNNNNNNNNNNNNGGAUGCCUUUGCGGCCUGUGUUCGUUUAUGAUGGACUAGUUGGAGCACCCCUGCAGGGUUUAAUCUUUCAGAAAGCCGUGCCCACGGUUAUGUGGCAACUUGGAAUAUUUUGUUAACAUCCGGUAUUAGAGAACUUGAACAUAAGCUAAUAAAAUUGCCAACUGUGUGCGUAUCCGUGUCUGUCCCCUCGAAGAUCCCUCUUCGAUCGGGAACACGGUGGGGUUAUGAAUGCCGUAGGUAGGUGGUCAGGAUCACUUAGUGAUCAAGUAUUCCCGACCGCUAGUGUAGACCACCUUCACAAUUACUUCGCGUAAGUUAGCCACUUAAUCAAGCUUAGGAUGCUGCAGCCUUAUACACUUCACCCUUACCCUACCUAAUAACAUGACUAGUUCUGGCACCAAGGUCUUAGAUUGCUGAGUCCCCGUGGCUCACGGAUUCCUCCGAAACUCCCAGCAGGUACAGGUACCCCAGAUAUAGAUGAUCCCGACGGCACCCAGCUGGCGUGGCAGUACGACGAGGAGACAGACCGCCUCUACGUGACCUAUCCAGGGGACUGAGGCGUGGUCGUGAUCGUGGGCCUGCAGGCAGGGUAGCAUAGCAUUUCCAUGUUUUGUAGUCCGUAGCGGAACUACNNNNNNNNNNNNNNNNNNNNNNNNNNNNNNNNNNNNNNNNNNNNNNNNNNNNNNNNNNNNNNNNNNNNNNNNNNNNNNNNNNNNNNNNNNNNNNNNNNNNAAAAAAAAGAGCAGGUGGGAAAAGGGGGAAGGACUCCUCCUUCCAAACCUAAUUGGACUCGGUUUGGAAGGGGAGGGUUGCCCCCCUUGGCUCGGCCGCCCCCUUGGGAGUCCUUGGACCCCAAGGCAAGGCUCCCCCUCCUCCCCCUAUAUAUACGCAGGUUUUAGGGCUGAUUUGAGACAACUUUGCCACGACAGCCCGACCACAUAUCUCCACGGUUUCACCUCUAGAUCGCGUUUCUGCGGAGCUCGGGCGGAGCCCUGUGAGAUAAGAUCACCACCAACCUCCGUAGCUCCGUCACGCUGGCGGAGAACUCAUCUACCUCUCCAUCACUCUUGCUGGAUCNNNNNNNNNNAGUUUCACCUCUAGAUCGCGUUUCUGCGGAGCUCGGGCGGAGCCCUGCUGAGAUAAGAUCACCACCAACCUCCGGAGCGCCAUCACGCUGGCGGAGAACUCAUCUACCUCUCCAUCACUCUUGCUGGAUCAAGAAGGCCGAGAUCAUCGUCGAGCUGUACGUGUGCUGAACGCGGAGGUGCCGUCCGUUCGGCACUAGAUCGUGGGACUGAUCGCGGGACGGUUCGCGGGGCGGAUCGAGGGACAUGAGGACGUUCCACUACAUCAACUGUGUUCACUAAUGCUUCUGCUGUGCGGUCUACAAGGGUACCUAGAUCGAACAUCCCCUCUCGUAGAUGGACAUCACCAUGAUAGGUCUUCGUGCGCGUAGGAAAUUUUUUGUUUCCCACGCGACGUUCCCCAACAGUGGCACCAUGAGCUAGGUUCAUGCGUAGAUGUCUUCUCGAGUAGAACACAAAAGUUUUUGUGGGCGGUGAUGUGCGUUUUGCUGCCCUCCUUAGUCUUUUCUUGAUUCCGCGGUAUUGUUGGAUUGAAGCGGCUUGGACCGACAUUACUCGUACGCUUACGAGAGACUGGUUUCAUCGUUACGAGUAACCCCCUUUGCUCAAAGAUGACUGGCAAGUGACGGUUUCUCCAACUUUAGUUGAAUCNNNNNNNNNNNNNNNNNNNNNNNNNNNNNNNNNNNNNNNNNNNNNNNNNNNNNNNNNNNNNNNNNNNNNNNNNNNNNNNNNNNNNNNNNNNNNNNNNNNNUGGGAUCUUGUAUUACGGAACGAGUAAAGAGACUUGCUGGUAAACGAGAUUGAAAUAGGUAUGCGGAUACUGACGAUUGAAUCUCGGGCAAGUAACGUACCGAAGGACAAAGGGAAUGACAUACGGGAUUAUACGAAUCCUUGGCACUGAGGUUCAAACGAUAAGACCUUCGUAGAAUAUGUAGGAUCCAAUAUGGGCAUCCAGGUCCCGCUGUUGGAUAUUGACCGAGGAGUCUCUCGGGUCAUGUCUACAUAGUUCUCGNNNNNNNNNNNNNNNNNNNNNNNNNNNNNNNNNNNNNNNNNNNNNNNNNNNNNNNNNNNNNNNNNNNNNNNNNNNNNNNNNNNNNNUGGGUCAUGUCUACAUAGUUCUCGAACCCGCAGGGUCUACACACUUAAGGUUCGACGUUGUUUUAUGCGUAUUAGAGUUAUAUGGUUGGUUACCGAAUGUUGUUCGGAGUCCCGGAUGAGAUCACGGACGUCACGAGGGUUUCCGGAAUGGUCCGGAAACGAAGAUUGAUAUAUAGGAUGACCUCAUUUGAUUACCGGAAGGUUUUCGGAGUAACCGGGAAUGUACCGGGAAUGACGAAUGGGUUCCGAAGUUCACCGGGGGGGCAACCCACCCCGGGGAAGCCCAUAGGCCUUGAGGGAGGCACACCAGCCCUUAGUGGGCUGGUGGGACAGCCCAAAAGAGCCCUAUGCGCCAUAGAGAUAAAAAUCAAAGAGAAAGAAAAAAAAAGGGAGGUGGGAAGGAAGGGAAGGACUCCCUCCCACCAAACCAAGUCCAACUCGGUUUCGGGGGGGAGUCUUCCCCCCUUGGACUCGGCCGACCCCCUUGGGGCUCCUUGAGCCCCAAGGCAAGGUCCCCUCCCUCCCACCUAUAUAUACGGAGGUUUUAGGGCUGAUUUGAGACGACUUUUCCACGGCAGCCCGACCACAUACCUCCACGGUUUUUCCUCUAGAUCGCGUUUCUGCGGANNNNNNNNNNGGCGGAGCCCUGCUGAGACAAGAUCAUCACCAACCUCCGGAGCGCCGUCACGCUGCCGGAGAACUCUUCUACCUCUCUGUCUCUCUUGCUGGACCAAGAAGGCCGAGAUCAUCGUCGAGCUGUACGUGUGCUGAACGCGGAGGUGCCGUCCGUUCGGUACUAGAUCGUGGGACUGAUCGCGGGAUUGUUCGCGGGGCGGAUCGAGGGACGUGAGGACGUUCCACUACAUCAANNNNNNNNNNNNNNNNNNNNNNNNNNNNNNNNNNNNNNNNNNNNNNNNNNNNNNNNNNNNNNNNNNNNNNNNNNNNNNNNNNNNNNNNNNNNNNNNNNNNCGGACCGUCGCCGUUGCACGUCGAACGACGCGGAACGCCGCCGCUCGCUCCGUCCACCGGUCGCCUCCCUCCGUCCUCGGAACCAGGCGCCGCCGCCGUCCUCCGAACCCGACCGAGGCCGGCGCCGGCCGGCGCCCACUCGACCCCCGAGAACCACGUCCAGGGUCGACCUCCGAGGCGCCACUUGGCCGCGGGCAGGCUGCGCUGGCUCCGGGCUCCGGGCGCGGGGGCGGGCGAGCGGCUGCUAGGCGGAGGACGAAGAGGAGGAGGAGGAAGACUUGACGAGGGCGGAGAGCCAGACGACGACGACGUUGAUGGAGAUGGUCACGUACGGCCUAGCGUCCACGGAGAAGUUGAAGCUGAAGUAGGACGCUCCCGGCGCCGAGGAAGAUGCCGCCAUCUCCAUGUCCAUGGUCUCUGUCUGUGGUAUGCCUGUCUCCUCUGCUCUUGCUGCCUUGGUGCUUCUUGCUUGCCUCUGGGAUGAGAGUUGUCGCUGGUCGCUGCGUGCUGGAUGCUAUUUGCAGAGCACGAAGGCUUGGCAUAUAUAGCUUGGUAGCCUCGCGAUAAGGCGCGAAACAAGUUGGAAGCGGGAUCGKACCCGUUGCGACUUGGGAAGAAGGAAAGCCGGGAGCGAAGAAGGUUCCCGGAAGCGGGGAGGCGUGGUGGAAACGCCGGACCAGACCGAGCGGUCGCCGGUUCGUGGCUUGUGAAAGUGAUGGAGCUGUCGUGCGCGCGCGCGCGGGGGUGUUUUUCAGCGGGUUUCGAGGGAGCUUCGCGGCGUGGAAACAUGCGCACCGGCGACCUGACCGUCCUGCUUUCUCGUGUUCUCGGUUGGGGUUGGCGUUGGAAUUCCACGCAGCCUCUCUCUCUCCUAUUUUAGUGGGCACGUCGCUCUCGUUUCGUCUGUGGUGCAGCCGCUCGUCUGCUACUCUUUCCGUUGUCGGGUUUCCUCCUGGUUGAUUUUCUUUUUGCGACUGAAUUCUGAUUUGAUUUUGAUAGAUAUAUGUGCGGUGGUGGACUGGUCGCAGGGAGCUGGGGGUGGUAUACGGCGACCGGUGUGAAGGAAGGUUGGUGAGUUGGCUGGCGAGCGCUUGACCAGAUUUCGUGGUGGACUCGACCAAACCAAACCAAACAGUGGCGUAGGUCUUUGCGCCAGCGGGCGUGAGGGAAUGCUUGCUCGUGCCCCCACCACCGGGUCGUCUCCGAUGACUGAGGUGUUUACACGCGACAGAGGUGCUAAUUAUGUGUGCUGCCGGCUGCAUAUAGAUCGAUAUACGCUAAAUGGAAACAUGACAACAAAACGUACGUUUGCCCGCACAAACCUUCCUGGACGGCAUGUUUGUCUCACGCUACUUUUCAUCCUUUGUUUUACAAAUUUGAAAUCUGAAGCUACAUUUCUUUUAAACACGAUAUAGAUGCAAGAGCUCAUAUAUAAGAGCAACUCUAGCAUACCCCGCAUCCCGUCGGCCCGUAAAACGCGUUUGCAGGUCGCGCAAAACAGCUUUUGCAGGCUGGCGUGGGCUGGCACAGAUGCGGACCCACCAAACGGAUCCGUAAAAAAAUAUAGUCGCGAAAUAUUCCUUUUUACGGGUCGGCUUUGCGGGAUCUGCUCUUUGCACCGCUGCUUCCCACGUAUCAUUAGCCCGCAAAUAUCAAAUACUCCCUCUGUAAGUUAAUAUAAGAGCAUUUAGACUACUAAAGUAGUGUUCUAAAUGCUCUUAUAUUAGUUUACGGGGACAUAAUUCAACAGCCGAAAACAAACUGAAUUAUUCGAAUCAAACACAAUACAAUAAUCAUCCGCAUUACAAACAAUUAUUCAAAACAUGUCAUGAAUACAAAUACAAAUGAAUACAAAAAUAAGUCACUGUCCAGCCAUUUGCCAAUGGUGUUCAAUGAGAUCUUUCUGAAGUUGAAAGUGGGUGUGUGGGUUUUCAAUCUCCUUGUCUGUCUGAAGAAAAGCUCUAAUGCGGUUUGGGUCUCUAGCUGGUUUAACACGGCUACCCACAUUGUCGUAAAAGAAUUCUAAGUUCCCAAGAUUCCUCGCAAGCUUGAACAAUUUUCACAAAGAGGGAUCGACGCAUUCCUUCUUUGAGUAAAUUACCGGCAAUUUUCCUCGCAAGCUUGAACAAUUUUCACAAAGAGGGAUCGGCGCAUUCGGUACCUUCUCCGGAAGAGGUGUGGAGGAUAUGUAGGAUGUUGGGGAACGUCGCAUGGAAAACAAAUUUUUUCCUACGCGCACAAAGACCUAUCAUGGUGAUGUCCAUCUACGAGGGGGAUUUCAGAUCUACGUACCCUUGUAGAUCGCACAGCAGAAGCGUUAAUAAACGCGGUUGAUGUAGUGGAACGUCCUCACGUCCCUCGAUCCGCCCCGCGAACCGUCCCACGAACCGUCCCGCGAUCUGUCCCACGAUCCGCUCCGAUCUAGUGCCGAACGGACGGCACCUCCGCGUUCAGCACACGUACAGCUCGACGAUGAUCUCGGCCUUCUUGAUCCAGCAAGAGAGACAGAGAGGUAGAUGAGUUCUCCGGCAGCAUGACGGCACUCCGAAGGUUUGUGGUGAUCUAAUCUCAGCAGGGCUCCGCGCGAGCUCCGCAGAAACGCGAUCUAGAGGAAAAACCGUGGAGGUAUGUGGUCGGACUGCCGUGGAAAAGUUAUCCCAAAUCAGCCCUAAAACCGCCGUAUAUAUAGGUGGGAGGGGAGGGGCCUUGCCUUGGGGCUCAAGGAGCCCCAAGGGGUUCGGCCGAAGGGGGGAGGAGGAGUCCUCCUCCAAUCCUAGUCCAACUAGGAUUGGAAGGUGGAGUCCUUCCCUUCCUUCCCACUUCCACUUUUUUCUCUUUGAUUUUCUUAUCUCCCUGCGCAGGGGCCUCUCUGGGCUUGCCCACCAACCCACUAAGGGCCGGUGCGGCACCACUAAGGCCUAUGGUCUUCCCCGGGGUGGGCUCGNNNNNNNNNNNNNNNNNNNNNNNNNNNNNNNNNNNNNNNNNNNNNNNNNNNNNNNNNNNNNNNNNNNNNNNNNNNNNNNNNNNNNNNNNNNNNNNNNNNNCUAAAAAAAGGGUUACUUUUAGUUUUGUAAAACAAAUUUUUAGGUAAUGUUACCUUUUCUAUAAUUUUUACUGAAAUUACUAAAACAAUAAUUACAGUUUUUCUAAAAAAAAUAGUUUUGAAAUUUUGAAAAAAUUAGGUUUAACUUUUUCAUUUUUUUAAGGUAGUUUUAMAAAWARUUACCAAAUUWCARWAAHAAUUUAAAAAAAAUAAAAAAAAUAAAAACAAAGAACAAAAAGGGUAAAAGGGAAAGAAAAUAAAAGAAAGAAAAAAACAAACAAAAAAUCUAAAAAAGAUAAAAUACCAAAAACGUAGAAGAAACAGGAGGAACCUUCUAGGAGAAAAAACGACUGAGAAACUAUAGAAGGUUCCCCAAACCGGAAUGGUGCAACUUGUUAAUAGUCGGCCCAGGUGAUUACCAUAAAAUGGACACAAUUUUAAUUGUAGAUGUAACUAAUUCACAAAAUGAAUCGUGCAUGAAAAUUCACAUGCAUAUCUUCUUUGUGUGGCGCCCGGUUGUACAUCGUGUAGCAUUUGAUCUACAGGCGCUACACCUCUGAUAAGCGUGGCAUCCGAGGUUAUAAUUCUGAUUGUAUGAUGUUUAAAUGAAAGGAGUCACUCUACAUUAUAUGACACCCGCUGAAAGAAGCCACAUUAUUUUAUAUUAAAAUUGAUGUAACUUUUAAUCCUUGCAUCCGAUGAAAAUAUGUUUUAUAUGAAUAUUGUGUAUUUUUCUGUGUUCUACGCAAUGGUGUCAUUUCCAUCGAUGUUAAGAUCAAUUUUCUUGAUGAAAUCUCUGUUGCAAAAAUGCGUCAUAAUAUAAUUGAUCGGAUUUGUUAAGACUUACAAAGUUGACAUGAUGGUAGCCACUGACUUAUAGCUUUUAUGCAUUUGCAUUCUACAUGAGUUUUACCCUAUAUAAUGUGUAUGUUCACGUCAUGUUCAUGCUUGUCAUGUUAGUCAUCUUUAAUAUGUUCAUGUCUUGCAUCUAAGUGACUAACAUGAUAUAUUUUUUGUAAACAAUCUUAUGAAGCUUUAUUUAACUGAAAUCAAUGUUUACAGAAAUAAAUGCAGGAUCAUCGGGUUGCUUAACCACACAUGGUCGCCAACCCCUAGUCUGGUAACAUGCUUCGUUAUGGAUGGGCCAGUUCCAAACACAGUAGGCCCACUUCCACCUCGUAGCCGGGCUUAGUCAGGUCAGUCGUCCAUUGUAGGAUUUUCUUCCACCUGGUCUUCGCACCUCUGAGACGGGGAGAUGCGGAGGCCGUCGGCUUCGUCGCCUCCGGCGAGGGGACCGGCGUUGGCUGCAGCAGCCGCUGUCGUUCUCCUCCCGGCUAUUUUCCCCGCGCUGUUCUCCCCGCUCGGCCGCGCCUUCCCUUCCCUAUUCUCGGUGCGUCCCCUAUAGUCGCCAUCCUCCUCUCCAGGCGGCUCGAUUUGAGCCGGUGUAGCGUCAUAUUGGCGAUCUUCCGCUUCUCUAGCUGCUUCCUACGCCUCUCCUUGCUAGUUCGCCACUUUGCCGAGUCCGAUUGUUUGGGGUGGGCGAAAAUUGGAUAUAAUCUAGAGGGAUUGGUACUUUUGGGGGGAGGAAUGUAUGUGGAAGGUGAAAUGAUGUGGUGAAUUCGUGGCUUUGUCCCCUCUUGAAUUGGAACUAGUACGAAAUUACAUUUGUUUAUUUGGUGUAUAUGUAUGUCGAUGCAGAGUAACCUGUAAAUAAGCAAAGUGUGCAACCUGUAAAUAAGCGAAGUUUGCAAGAUCUGGAUUCUUUUGAUGGACAGCAUCAUGCCAGUUGCAUCGGAUAUUUUGGUUUGGACAGUGGUCUCCAAUGUGUGAUUACGAGUAGAUUUUUUUGUAUGCAUUUCGGGGCAGUGUGGGACGCUGGGACUGUACUCGGCUACCAUGAGCCAUGACAGUAUUGGGAAUAACAUGUGUACUGGAUUACUCUACUAUGGCUGUGAAGAUAGAUUGGCUACUGAUGUGGACCUUAGUAAAUAUUUCUGCAGACUGCAAUAUUGUCUUUUUAAGAUUAAUCAUGUGGACAGCGUGUAUACUGCAGGAGUGGAAUGCCCCUAAGCCAAUGCACGAGUCUCUUUUCAAUGAGUCUUUGCGAUGGACAAUAGUGAGUAUUCACAACUCAGAUAAAUACUGGAAAUAGUUAUGUUGAAGUCUAUUUGUAACUUACUCUCUGUACAGCCAGAUGAACAAAAAAGAGAUCUCUGGACACCCUUGCCUGAUCAGGGGUGGAAACCAUGCAUAAGGUCAUCGAUCACUCGUGGUAACAUUCUGUGAUAAAUCUGUUUAGGUAAUGAUAUGCCUCCCGCUGCGAUAGAUCACUAAGCAUUUGGUUAUAUGAAGUGUAGGGUUACCUUCACAACCCAGUGGGUACAUACAAGUAUUUCUUGAUGGUGGCCUGAACCAGCAGAGAAUGGGGGUAACUCACUUCUUAUGUACCAAACUCAUGAUGUUAGAUUUAAUAUAACUUGCUUGGUUGAAACUUCAGAUCAUCUGGCUCUUUCUUUUUGUUCUCUAGAUAUGUGAUGCAGUUGCGGUUGCUAAGAUUUUGAACGCUACUCUUGUGAUCCCACAUCUUGAAGUAAACCCUGUUUGGAAAGACUCAAGGUGCUUUUGGAGUUUCAGAGUACUACUGUAUCUUGUUAAUUUUAAAUACUCCUGUUAGAUUGGAAGUGAAAGGUUUAGUUUGGUCUGCAGCUCAUUUGGAGAUAUUUUUAAUGUGGAUCACUUCAUCAACACCCUAAGAGGCGAUGUUUCAAUAGUGAGAGCUCCAUUAAAAGAAUUUUCGUGGAGCACAAGAGAGUUCUAUAGCACAGGAAUACGUGCUACAAGAAUAAAAACUGCACCUCUUCAUGCCUCGGCUAAUUGGUAUAUAGAGAAUGUCAGUCCUAUCCUGCAAAGGUUUGUGAUUUUCUUGGCCAUAUAGUCGCUUCUCUAGACCCCUUGAGUAAGUGGCAUAAUAAUGCUAAGAAACUGCAGUUCAUGUUUAGCCCAGGUUGAUGGCCACUGAACUGGCUUUAUAGUAUUAACAUGACAACUCGUUGUCUAACUUCAUUAGUUGGUUACUCUGUGAGGGGAAUCCUUCACCGAAAAUCUCAUGCAAGCGUUGUUUCCCUUGUCAGCUAUGGCAUUGCUGCCAUUGCCCCCUUUUCUCACCGCCUUGCAUUCGAUGAUUUGCCUGUGGAUAUUCAACGCCUGCGCUGUAAAGUUAACUUUGAAGCCCUGGUUUUUGUGCCUUACAUUAUAUCACUGGGGAGGACCCUUGAGAAGCGCUUGAGAUCUCCAGUGCAGGGGCAUUCCACUGAAUUAACCCAACAAGUUGUAGAAGAUUACACAGAUCAGUCUGAAAAGUAUGCAGUUGUACAUCUCCGCUUCGAUAAGGUAAAUGGAAGGGCUUCUGCUAUAUUUGGAAGUCGUACGUGUAUAUUUUUGUUAUCUUCAAGGAAUUUCCACUCUGAAACAACUCAAGCUGACCUACAUUUUUCAGGAUAUGGCUGCACAUUCUGCCUGUGACUUUGGCGGUGGUAGAGCUGAAAAAUUAGCUCUGGCUAAGUACAGGCAAGUUAUCUGGCAAGGGAGGGUAUUAAAUUCACAGUUAAGUGAUGAGGAGCUUCGAAACACAGGACGCUGCCCGUUGACUCCAGAAGAGAUUGGAUUGAUACUAGUAGCGCUUGGCUUUGACAGCAAAACUCGAUUUUAUCUUGCCUCUCACAAGGUUUGACUCUCUGCCUCUGCCGGUGCGCUUACUUAUUCUCCGUAGUGGAAGCAGAAAUUUCUAACAUACGUCACCUAUUAAGGUAUAUGGAGGGGAAGCUAGGAUCUCUAGCUUGCGCAAGCUUUUCCCGCUGAUGGUAGACAAGAGGAGCCUUGCAUCGGCAGAUGAGCUUGCUAGUAUCGAAGGGAAGGCUUCUGUGCUAGCAGCUCUUGACUACCAUAUCAGCAUGCACAGCGAUGUUUUCAUCUCUGCUUCUCCUGGCAAUAUGCAUAAUGCACUGGUAAAUCCUGUUUGGCUUCAGCUGUAUUCGCUAGAUUUCUCCUCUUUCUUUAUUGGUCCUGACCAGAUGAUGGUUGAUUCAGCUGGCCCACCGGACCUAUAGGAAUCUGAAGACGAUAAGGCCAAACAUGACAUUGCUUGGCCACAUAUUUGUGAACAAGAGCAUGGAGUGGUCAGAGUUUCAGCAGGCUGUGCAGGCAGGCCACAAAGGUAGAUACGGGCAGAUCCGGCUGAGGAAGCCGAAGCAGUCUAUCUAUACUUAUCCUGCCCCAGAUUGUAUGUGCCCAGGGUAGAUCGCCAAGUUUUCUGCGGUGCACCGACAAAAGAAAUGUGCUGAGUUACUUGCAGUUUCUAAUUAGGUUAAGCUCAUGUGGAUAUGUAUAUUUAGUUCUGAAUUUUCGGUUGAAUCAGUUUGCUGCCACUUCCAAUAGGAUCUUAAAAUUUUAACCAAAAUUUACGCACUAUACGUUGAGCCUUGAAGGACUCUAAUCUUGUGCUGUUUGCACGAUCCAUACGACGAAGUUGUAGUUUUGGAGCUGAUGUUGUGUAUCUGUGACCUGACUUGAUAUACUGGAUCCUUUUUCUUCUUUUAUUCCGCUGUUCUACUUCUGGGAGUCCGGUGUUCUGAAUUUCUGCUUUGAUUUAGUAUUACUAUCGUCAUGGCGAAUUCGAUACUAAUGCUUCAAACUAGUAGUAUGUUUUGCCAUGUUUUAAAAUAACACGCAUGGGUGAUAUUACAAGUACAGCCUCCGUCGGAAGCCAUGGGCGAAUCCACAAGGACAAAGUUUCACCACCGGAACUUUAAGAUUACAACACGUUUUUGCACUGCCACCUACUCCUCCACACUUUGUACAUCCUCAGCACCCCAAAAUAAUAAUUCAGACCACCUGAAACCUCCUUGGUCGGUGAAAUCGACGGAUUUAUUGGCCGGAGAUGGUCUGGAUGAUGGUGUUGUGCCAUGGGUCGGCCAGGUGCUGCUGCAGGUUCUCGAACGGCCCCUUCCCGGUCACGUUGUGCUGCACCAGGAACCCCAGGAACGCCAGCAUGGCCAGUCUCCCUGAACGAAUGAACGCGCGCGCGAAUACAGAUUAACGAGAGCCGUCGGAUUAGAAACCCGAGGGUUCAGAUGAGACUGAAGAGAGGAUGGACGUACCGUUGGCGAGCUCCUUCUCCUUGUUCUCGAGGGUGGGGGCGAAGUUGAGGGGGUUGAAGACGCUGCCGGGGUAGCCGCACUCGUGGGGCGGGAGGCUGUAGCUCUUGAAGAUGGGGUCCUGGUUGACGGAGCCCGGGUUCUUGAUGUCCUGCCACCGCCGGAUCUCGACGUAGUGGAAGAGGAUGAACUCGAUGACGAAGAGCGUGGAGGAGGAGGCGAAGUAGGUCUCCUUGCCGGCGUCGUACCACUCGGGCGCGUUCAGCAGCCCCGCCUUGGUCAGCACCUCCGGGAUCAGCAUCCCCGCCACCCCCAGCAUCGCCCACCGCCCGUUCACCAGCUCCGCCUGCACGAACCACCGCAGGUCCUCCGGGUCCUCCGCCAGCGCCAGCGGGUCAAAACCAUUGUCACCCGCCAGACUGCACACGUAUCGUCCGUCAGUACGGUCGUAAACAUAUGUAACAGCUGCGUGCAUGGGCACGACGGAAGUGGUGUGGCGUGUCGUGUGGUCUGCUCACCUGCCGUCGAGGUAGGCAGGGGACUGGAGGCCGGGGAGCCAGGACCCCUUGGCCUGGACGGCGACGUCGCGGCGGGUGGACUUGGCGAGCCCGACGCGGCCGGAGUCGCCCAGGAACCGGGGGCUCGACGCUGACGCCGCCGGCCGGAGAGCGGCCACGGGAGCGCGGGCACUGACCGACGACAUCUUCUGCUACUCCUGACUAGAGAGCGCGUACGGCAGGAGAGUGAGAGUGCGCGCGUGUGUGUGUGGUGGUUCUGCCUCUCCGCACCUGCGCUUGGCCCUUUGUAUUGGGCUGCGCUUCGGUGAUUUGUGGGUGUGGUGAGCUGGGCCCCGGAGGUCGAGAUGGACGGCGUGUGUUGGCGCCACCGCGUCGUCCGACGGCUGCGAUGCGUUUGCGCCUG